This 76-nucleotide transfer RNA is filed under the name Perkinsus olseni. RNAcentral's name for it is "tRNA-Phe". The stretch from base 11 to 68 matches the Rfam family "tRNA", at positions 8 to 63 of the family's 71-position model. From Rfam's summary of the family: Transfer RNA (tRNA) molecules are approximately 80 nucleotides in length. Their secondary structure includes four short double-helical elements and three loops (D, anti-codon, and T loops). Lineage: Eukaryota; Perkinsozoa; Perkinsida; Perkinsidae. The record is from RNAcentral.
GCCCCCAACCUAGCUCAGUUGGGAGAGCGCCAGACUGAAGAUCUGGAGGUCCUCAGUUCGAUCCUGGGUCUGGGCA